CGAAAGCCUGACGGAGCAAUACCGCGUGAGGGAUGACGGCCUAUGGGUUGUAAACCUCUUUUUUCAGGGAGGAAUAAAUGACGUGUACCUGAAGAAUAAGCAUCGGCUAACUCCGUGCCAGCAGCCGCGGUAAGACGGAGGAUGCAAGUGUUAUCCGGAAUCACUGGGCGUAAAGCGUCUGUAGGUGGUCUGAUAAGUCAACUGUUAAAUCUUGAGGCUCAACCUCAAAAUCGCAGUCGAAACUAUUAGACUAGAGUAUAGUAGGGGUAAAGGGAAUUUCCAGUGGAGCGGUGAAAUGCGUAGAGAUUGGAAGGAACACCGAUGGCGAAGGCACUUUACUGGGCUAUUACUAACACUCAGAGACGAAAGCUAGGGUAGCA
RNAcentral lists this ribosomal RNA (380 nucleotides) under uncultured cyanobacterium. RNAcentral describes it as "bacterial SSU rRNA". It matches the Rfam family "Bacterial small subunit ribosomal RNA", at positions 376 to 770 of the family's 1533-position model. Lineage: Bacteria; Bacillati; Cyanobacteriota. The record is from RNAcentral.